AUUGAACGCUGGCGGCAGGCCUAACACAUGCAAGUCGAACGAGUCGCGGACGGGUGAGUUAUGUCUGGGAAACUGCCUGAUGGAGGGGGAUAACUACUGGAACCGGUAGCUAAUACCGCAUACCAUCAGAUGUGCCCAGCUGGGAUUAGCUAGUUGGUGGGGUAACGGCGCACCAAGGCGACGAUCCCUAGCUGGUCUGCGAGGAUGACCAGCAAAACGGGAACGGAGACACGGUCCAGACUCCUACGGGAGGCAGCAGUGGGGAAUAGUGCACAAUGGGCGAAAGCCUGAUGCAGCAAUGCCGCGUGUAUGAAGAAGGCCUUCGGGUUGUAAAGUACUUUCAGCGGGGAGGCGUUACCCGCAGAAGAAGCACCGGCUAACUCCGUGCCAGCAGCCGCGGUAAUUC
Molecule: ribosomal RNA, 406 nt
Filed under: uncultured bacterium
Lineage: Bacteria
Description: partial 16S ribosomal RNA
Rfam family: Bacterial small subunit ribosomal RNA
Source: RNAcentral